RNAcentral lists this unclassified non-coding RNA (329 nucleotides) under soil metagenome. Its description in RNAcentral is "partial contains 5.8S ribosomal RNA, internal transcribed spacer 2, and large subunit ribosomal RNA". The stretch from base 1 to 120 matches the Rfam family "5.8S ribosomal RNA", at positions 35 to 154 of the family's 154-position model. The record is from RNAcentral.
GAUGAAGAACGUAGCGAAAUGCGAUAAGUAGUGUGAAUUGCAGAAUUCAGUGAAUCAUCGAAUCUUUGAACGCACAUUGCGCCCCUUGGUAUCCCGAGGGGCAUGCCUGUUCGAGCGUCAUUUCACCACUCAAGCCUGGCUUGGUGUUGGGCGACGUCCCCUUUGGGGACGCGCCUCGAAACGCUCGGCGGCGUCGCACCGGCUUUAAGCGUAGCAGAAUCUUUCGCUUUGGAAGUCGGGGCCCCGUCUGCCGGAAGACCUACUCGCAAGGUUGACCUCGGAUCAGGCAGGGAUACCCGCUGAACUUAAGCAUAUCAAUAAGCGGAGGA